RNAcentral lists this ribosomal RNA (253 nucleotides) under uncultured bacterium. Its description in RNAcentral is "partial 16S ribosomal RNA". It matches the Rfam family "Bacterial small subunit ribosomal RNA", at positions 524 to 776 of the family's 1533-position model. The record is from RNAcentral.
GACGAACCGUACGAACGUUAUUCGGAAUUACUGGGCUUAAAGGGUGCGUAGGCUGUGCGGAAAGUUGGGCGUGAAAUACCUCAGCUUAACUGAGGUACUGCGUUCAAAACUACCGUGCUCGAGGGAGACAGAGGUAAGCGGAACUUAGGGUGGAGCGGUGAAAUGCGUUGAUAUCCUAAGGAACACCGGUGGCGAAAGCGGCUUACUGGGUCUCUUCUGACGCUGAGGCACGAAAGCUAGGGUAGCGAACGGG